CUACGUGUGGCUGUAGUGGGGAAUAUUGGACAAUGGGCGAAAGCCUGAUCCAGCCAUGCCGCGUGUGUGAAGAAGGCCUUCGGGUUGUAAAGCACUUUCAGUGGGGAAGAAAGCCUUGGGGCUAAUACCCUCGAGGAAGGACAUCACCCACAGAAGAAGCACCGGCUAACUCCGUGCCAGCAGCCGCGGUAAUACGGAGGGUGCGAGCGUUAAUCGGAAUUACUGGGCGUAAAGCGCGCGUAGGCGGUCUGAUAAGCCGGUUGUGAAAGCCCCGGGCUCAACCUGGGAACGGCAUCCGGAACUGUCAGGCUAGAGUGCAGGAGAGGAAGGUAGAAUUCCCGGUGUAGCGGUGAAAUGCGUAGAGAUCGGGAGGAAUACCAGUGGCGAAGGCGGCCUUCUGGACUGACACUGACGCUGAGGUGCGAAAGCGUGGGUAGCAAACAGGAUUAGAUACCCGAGUAGUC
Molecule: ribosomal RNA, 464 nt
Filed under: Vreelandella stevensii
Lineage: Bacteria; Pseudomonadati; Pseudomonadota; Gammaproteobacteria; Oceanospirillales; Halomonadaceae
Description: partial 16S ribosomal RNA
Rfam family: Bacterial small subunit ribosomal RNA
Source: RNAcentral